This 253-nucleotide ribosomal RNA is filed under the name uncultured bacterium. Its description in RNAcentral is "partial 16S ribosomal RNA". It matches the Rfam family "Bacterial small subunit ribosomal RNA", at positions 524 to 776 of the family's 1533-position model. The record is from RNAcentral.
UACAGAGACUGCAAGCGUUAUUCGGAUUCACUGGGUUUAAAGGGUGCGUAGGCGGCUUUGUAAGUCAGUGGUGAAAUAUGGCAGCUUAACUGUCAAGGUGCCAUUGAUACUGCGGAGCUUGAGUACAGAUGAGGUAGGCGGAAUUGACGGUGUAGCGGUGAAAUGCUUAGAUAUCGUCAAGAACACCUAUAGCGAAGGCAGCUUACUAGGCUGUAACUGACGCUGAGGCACGAAAGUGUGGGGAUCAAACAGG